This 429-nucleotide ribosomal RNA is filed under the name Acidobacteriota bacterium. RNAcentral describes it as "Acidobacteria bacterium partial 16S ribosomal RNA". It matches the Rfam family "Bacterial small subunit ribosomal RNA", at positions 355 to 776 of the family's 1533-position model. The record is from RNAcentral. Lineage: Bacteria; Pseudomonadati; Acidobacteriota.
UGGGGAAUUUUGGACAAUGGGGGAAACCCUGAUCCAGCCAUCCCGCGUGUGCGAUGAAGGCCUUCGGGUUGUAAAGCACUUUUGGCAGGAAAGAAACGUCAUGGGUUAAUACCCCGUGAAACUGACGGUACCUGCAGAAUAAGCACCGGCUAACUACGUGCCAGCAGCCGCGGUAAUACGUAGGGUGCAAGCGUUAAUCGGAAUUACUGGGCGUAAAGCGUGCGCAGGCGGUUCGGAAAGAAAGAUGUGAAAUCCCAGAGCUAAACUUUGGAACUGCAUUUUUAACUAACGGGCUAGAGUGUGUCAGAGGGAGGUGGAAUUCCGCGUGUAGCAGUGAAAUGCGUAGUUAUGCGGAGGAACACCGAUGGCGAAGGCAGCCUCCUGGGAUAACCCUGACGCUCAUGCACGAAAGCGUGGGGAGCAAACAGG